UUCCCUGAAAAAGGUCACCUUCAAUCAAAAUAAGGUAGGAUUUGAGGCUACAGGUUUGAGGGUGAAACCAAGUAAGAUUAAAGCAGAUGGAAUGAAGGGAGUGAAGUGGUGAAAUAUAUAGAGAUUGCUGCGUGGUUAUUGCUAUGAACAAUAUCUUGGAAGCCUAAGUUCCUCCUCAAUCCAAAGAAAGGUCUCUCAGUAUCGGGGAUCAAACUUAAGACCUUAUGCUUGCAGGCCGGCACAGCACCACUGAGCUACAACUCCAGACCCCACUGCUUUUUGUAGAAGAAUAAUUACCAUUGCAUGAACACGCUAUAAUUUGUUUAUCCAUUUAUCAGUGGAUGAACAUGUGAGCUGUUUUCACCU
This is a long non-coding RNA of Fukomys damarensis (Damara mole-rat), 366 nucleotides long. RefSeq lists it as uncharacterized. The transcript has 3 exons. NCBI's taxonomy places the organism in Eukaryota, Metazoa, Chordata, Mammalia, Rodentia, Bathyergidae. The record is from RefSeq and is a predicted model, not a curated record.